Molecule: long non-coding RNA, 212 nt
Filed under: Elaeis guineensis (African oil palm)
Lineage: Eukaryota; Viridiplantae; Streptophyta; Magnoliopsida; Arecales; Arecaceae
Description: long non-coding RNA (EGUI_LNC076190)
Source: RNAcentral
UGCAUCCAGCCUCUAGAAGUCUCUACACAAGCCCACGAAUCACGAUCAGAAGUCUUGAUCCAGAAAAUCAGCACAGUAUGCUAGUACUGCGUUGAUCCUUCUUCGAUGGUCGAUCAGAUACCUUCUUCUUCUUGAUUUGGACUCUUUCAAAGAUGAGAAGUAAGAGAAGGAGUCUUAGAUGAGACACUCUCAAAAAAUUUAUAGAUGGAGGA